AUUGAACGCUGGCGGCAGGCCUAACACAUGCAAGUCGAACGGUAGCACAGAGAGCUUGCUCUCGGGUGACGAGUGGCGGACGGGUGAGUAAUGUCUGGGAAACUGCCCGAUGGAGGGGGACAACUACUGGAAACGGUAGCUAAUACCGCAUAACGUCGCAAGACCAAAGUGGGGGACCUUCGGGCAUCACACCAUCCGAUGUGCCCAGAUGGGAUUAGCAAGUAGGUGGGGUAAUGGCUCACCUAGGCGACGAUCACUAGCUGGUCUGAGAGGAUGACCAGCCACACUGGAACUGAGACACGGUCCAGACUCCUACGGGAGGCAGCAGUGGGGAAUAUUGCACAAUGGGCGCAAGCCUGAUGCAGCCAUGCCGCGUGUAUGAAGAAGGCCUUCGGGUUGUAAAGUACUUUCAGCGGGGAGGAAGGCGGUGGAGUUAAUAACUUCACCGAUUGACGUUACCCGCAGAAGAAGCACCGGCUAACUCCGUGCCAGCCGCCGCGGUAA
This 504-nucleotide ribosomal RNA is filed under the name uncultured bacterium. RNAcentral describes it as "partial 16S ribosomal RNA". It matches the Rfam family "Bacterial small subunit ribosomal RNA", at positions 29 to 523 of the family's 1533-position model. The record is from RNAcentral.